AGUAGUUAUAUACUUAUCUUAAAGAUUAAGCUAUAUAUAUCUAAGUAUAAGUAAUUAUACCGCGAAACUGCGAAUGGCUCAUUAUAUAAGUUAUCGUUUAUUUAAUAGUAUAUUUACCUACUUAGAUAACCGUAGUAAUUCUAGAGCUAAUAUAUACUAAAAAUCCUGACUUUGGAAGGGAUAUAUUUAUUAGAUUAAAAGCUAACGCCCUUCGGGGCUUCUUAGUAAUUUAUAAUAACUAGUCGAAUCGUAUAGCCUUACGCCGGCGAUAGUUUAUUUAAAUUUCUUCCCUAUUAACUUUCGAUGCGAGGGUCUUGUCCUCGCAUGGUUGCAACGGGUAACGGAGGGUUAGGGCUCGACCCUAGAGAAGGAGCCUAAGAAAUAGCUACUAUAUCUAAGGAAGGUAGUAGGCGCGCAAAUUACCUAAUCCUAAUACGGGGAGGUAGUAAUAAUAAAUACUAAUAUAGGGCUCUUUUAGGUCUUAUAAUCGGAAUAAGUAUAAUUUAAAUCCUUUAACGAGGAAUAAUUAGAAGGCAAGUCUAGUGCUAGCAGCCGCGGUAAUUCUAGCUCUAAUAGCGUAUAUUAAAGUUGUUAUGGUUAAAAAGCUCGUAGUUGAACCUUGGGCCUGGCUGGCCGGUCCCCCUCACCGGGUGCACUGAUCCAGCCGGGCCUUUCCCUCUGUGGAACCUCAUGGUCUUCACUGACUGUGUUGGGGAAACAGGACUUUUACUUUGAAAAAAUUAGAGUGCUCCAGGCAGGCCUAUGCUCGAAUACAUUAGCAUGGAAUAAUAGAAUAGGACGUGUGGUUCUAUUUUGUUGGUUUCUAGGACCGCCGUAAUAAUUAAUAGGGAUAGUCGGGGGUAUUAGUAUUUAAUUAUUAGAGGUAAAAUUCUUAGAUCUAUUAAAGACUAACUACUACGAAAGUAUUUGCUAAGGAUAUUUUUAUUAAUAAGGAACGAAAGUUAGGGGAUUAAAGACGAUUAGAUACCGUCGUAGUCUUAACUAUAAACUAURCCGACUAGGGAUCGGACGAUGUUAUCUUUUGACGCGUUCGGCACCUUUCGAGAAAUCAAAGUGCUUGGGCUCCAGGGGGAGUAUGGUCGCAAGGCUGAAACUUAAAGAAAUUSACGGAAGGGCACCACCARGGGUGGAACCUGCGGCUUAAUUUGACUCAACACGGGGAAACUCACCAGGUCCAGACACAGUGAGGAUUGACAGAUUGAGAGCUCUUUCUUGAUUCUGUGGGUGGUGGUGCAUGGCCGUUCUUAGUUGGUGGAGUGAUUUGUCUGCUUAAUU
This 1296-nucleotide ribosomal RNA is filed under the name Basipetospora chlamydospora. RNAcentral's name for it is "SSU rRNA". Lineage: Eukaryota; Fungi; Ascomycota; Sordariomycetes; Microascales. The record is from RNAcentral.